RNAcentral lists this unclassified non-coding RNA (2803 nucleotides) under Leishmania donovani. RNAcentral describes it as "gene:LdHU3.17.0430(CDS-product:hypothetical_prote in_conserved)". The record is from RNAcentral. Lineage: Eukaryota; Euglenozoa; Kinetoplastea; Trypanosomatida; Trypanosomatidae.
GAAGUGCCCCAUAGAUCAGAAGGCGUCACACAGACAUCCGCACACACGCACGCACAUAUACAUUUAUAUAUACAGACGGACGGACGGGCGCAAACAUUCUCGCGGCACUUCCCUAUUCACUUAUCUAUCCCUCCUCAAAAGACCGCCUUCUCACGCAGACAGGGAGGGGGAGGGAGGAGUUGAAAGGCAUCGUACCGAAACGCUGUGCUGCGCUCCCCUUGAGGCGCGCUUGCGGGGGUGUGCGUUGCCUCUCUCCCCGUUGGCAUCGAGAUUGGUGUCCUUGCACGACUCCGCGCGCAACUGCCGAGACGAACUACUUCCGCUGUGUGAAGGCGACGAAGGUGAAGCGGCGGCUUAUCACUUACGACUGACUCUCGACUUCGCCCGUCCAUCCCUCUCCCGGCCUCCCCCGGCGCGGUCGCAGCACUGGCACCAUUUGUUUUACUGCUCCUCAUCCGCAUCAUCUGUACCACCCAUCUCUCCUCUCCUUUCCAUAGACCUGUACCAUCAUUCCGUGGCAAAGGCACAGGCGGGCUCGCGCGCGUUUGUACUCUUCUGGACCUUCGUUUUUUUCCCCCGUUGCAUUUCUUGCGUGUGUGUGUUUUCUCAGCCUUCCCCCUCUCCCCACGCCUUCACGUGUGUAUCUCCGCGGCUUCUGCCCUCGCUUCCUGCCGGUCAAGCGCCGCUCGGUCCCCGCCGCCCGCCCACAUUCCCUCCCCCGGUUUAUCGCUGUGUGUUUUUGUUUGUGUGUGUGUGUGGGGUGCGACCACUUUCGGGUUGGCGAUCCCCCGAGAGCACCGCCGCUCGCUGAAAGGGGCACAUCAUCUCCGCGUGCGCUGUAGGUGAGUGUGGGUGUGGGGUGAGGAUGAGUGGCAGCGCCAAAAAUGGCUCCGACGGAAGUCGCCGGGCUUCUUCGGGGAUGAUGGGUAGCGGUAGCAGCAACGGCGGCAGUAGCCGUGGCAGCGAUGAUGACAGUGACCGUACUGGAGUGCGACGACGGGGUUCCUCGCAGCAUGUCCUGCUACCUGACGGCGGGUUUCAUGGGCAGACCACGUCGACGCACACCAAUCGGCGAUCUCGAGAACCUUCUCUGACAGUCACAGGGCGCAGCUCGUCGCCUCCAGACACUCCGUUGAAGAAAGGGAGUGCUGCGGCAGCAUCAGGCGUGAAAUCGUUCUCACGUCCCGCCGCAGCCCGCCUCGUCGCCACGGAAAAUACUCCUUCCCUUUCCGCAGAGUCGACGAUACCGGCUGCCGCGGCAGCGCAUGACGUUCGCGACACGGUCGAGUACCGUGCGGCUUGGGACCUAGAGCUGUGGAAAGCUGUGCAAGCAGACCGCUUCCGCAAAGAGCUCGAGAAGCAGAGGAACGUUGCAUUCGCGGAUCUCGAUCGACUUGUGAAGCGGCGGGAGAGGGAGGCGCGGGUGGCGCUGCAGCAGCGCACCACGGCAGUGGCGCUUCGCGAGGAGGCGGUGCAGGCAGAGGAGACGCGCCUGGCAGAGCGGCAACAGCGUGUGUCCGAUAUGGAAAAGGACGUGCGGCGCAUGCGGCAGCAGCUGCUCGACGCACAGCAGCGUGUCGAGGAUGAGGUGCGGGCGCAGGUGCGGCUGGCCAACGACACCAUUGCUCACCGCGCGCGACUACUGGAGGAAAGGGUGAAGGCGGCGGAGGCGCAGGCGCGGCGUGCAGAUGAGAGACAGCGGCUGGCGCAGCAGGAGUACUUGUCCCUCUAUGAGGCCUUCAGUCGAUACCGUACGCAGCAGUUGACAUCCCCUGGCUCCGCCAGCGGCAUCACCACUGCUAAUGCAAUGGGUGGGACUGCAUCCUCAUCUUUCUCGGUGGAGCGGCUGCGCGCUCAGUGGGAAACCGAGCACCAGCUGCAGCUAGACAGGCAAGCGCAGCGGCAUGCGUCUGACAUGGCUGCAGUUCAGCAGCGGUGCCGCGAGCUAGAGGAGCAGAACAGAAGACUGACGGCAGCACUGGCACGCCGACGGGAGCAACUGCGCCGUCACGCAGAUAGCGCGUCACCGCCGCCUCUACCGACAUCAGUUUCGCAGCGGCCACCGUCCCACGCCGGCCGCGAGGAUCGCGAGGGGCCGUCGGGCAGUGGCACCGCCGCUUCGUCAUCCUCCACCCCGUCCUCGAAUGUGGAAGCUGCGACUACUGCACUGCUUCAACCAGCGCGCAACAAGGAAAUCCUUCGCGACUUUGUGCAGCGCACCAGUCGCGAGCUUCAUCGUCUGGAGACAGAGCGGUCGUUGCUGGUGGAGGGGAGCAGCGGCGCGUUGCGUGAGACGGACACAGUGAUUGUGCGAAUGGACGCCCGCAUUCGCGAGUUGCGAGAGCAUCUUUCUUUUGUCGCGAGCCGGCGUGAGGCCGGAUGGCGUGACCGGGUAGACGGCACGGAGAGAUGGGAGAGGGCGAGGCUGGAGACUGGCCCGCUGUGAUGGCCCUCUCUUACCUCACCCAUACAUAUGCAUACAUGCGUGUAUUCUGUACACCGUGUUUUCGCUAAAGCGGCUGUUGAUGGGGCCGCUACCCCGUCGCUCCUUGUUUGCGUGUCCUUCCUUCGGUGUUGUUGCGCCCCGUUUCUCUUGUGCAAGUAGCCACGCACAAGAGCGUAAAAGGGUACCUCCCGCCCCCCUCUCGCCCCUCUCCUCCCCCCUCCCCUUCCCCACACACCUGGCGCAUACCGACGCACGCACCACACGCACAUGUCGUGCAGAGACGCGUGCCCUGUAAUGCUCUUGUGUGCACCUCCUCUCUCCCUCCUCGGCUUUUGUGCGACGCAUGCACACCUCUUC